RNAcentral lists this non-coding RNA (22 nucleotides) under Arabidopsis thaliana (thale cress). The record is from RNAcentral. Lineage: Eukaryota; Viridiplantae; Streptophyta; Magnoliopsida; Brassicales; Brassicaceae.
CAAGUUUUCAAGAGCAAGCUCA